GGGAGGGGUGCGAGCGUUAAUCGGAAUUACUGGGCGUAAAAGGGCGAGUAGGGUGGUUGUUUAAGUUGGAUGUGAAAUGUCUGGGCUUAACCUGGAUUAGUCAUCCGAAACUGGAUAACUAGAGUACGGUAGAGGGUAGUGGAAUUUCCGGUGUAGCGGUGAAAUGCGUAGAUAUCGGAAGGAACAUCAGUGGCGAAGGCGACUACCUGGACUGAUACUGACACUGAGUCGCGAAAGCGUGGGGAGCGAACAGGAUUAGAUACCCUGGUAGUCCACGCUGUAAACGAUGACAACUAACCGUUGGAGCUGAAGAGGGCUUUAGUGGUGAAGCAAACGCGCUAAGUUGUCCGCCUGGGGAGUACGGCCGCAAGGUUA
This 375-nucleotide ribosomal RNA is filed under the name uncultured organism. RNAcentral's name for it is "partial 16S ribosomal RNA". It matches the Rfam family "Bacterial small subunit ribosomal RNA", at positions 525 to 896 of the family's 1533-position model. The record is from RNAcentral.